Molecule: unclassified non-coding RNA, 455 nt
Filed under: Hevea brasiliensis (rubber tree)
Lineage: Eukaryota; Viridiplantae; Streptophyta; Magnoliopsida; Malpighiales; Euphorbiaceae
Source: RNAcentral
GGCUCGAUCUUCUUUGAUGUGGUAACAAAAAUUUCUGUAGCUGCCAAAAAUGGGCGGCGGCGGAUCAAGAGAGUCGCUCGGGUGUCGGCGAUGGCCGAUCCCAUCUCGUACAAGAUGAACCUCAACGAGUACAUGGUGACAUUGGAGAAGCCGCUGGGCAUCCGGUUCGCGCUGUCGGUCGACGGCAAGAUCUUUGUCCAUUCCCUCAAAAAAGGAGGGAAUGCGGAGAGAUCGAGGAUAAUUAUGGUGGGGGAUGCUGUGAAGAAGGCGAGCAAGGCUUCCGGUGGGUUCAUGCAAAUUGAGGACUUCAAUGAUACACGGGAAAUGCUUAAGGAUACUUCUGGAUCAAUUAGCCUUGUACUUGAAAGACCUGUCUCUCCCUAUCCGAUUCAGGAGCUAUAUGUAAACGGAGAUUCUCAUUAUUUGUUCAAUAGAGGCCGCACUCCUUUUACUAC